This 254-nucleotide ribosomal RNA is filed under the name uncultured bacterium. Its description in RNAcentral is "partial 16S ribosomal RNA". It matches the Rfam family "Bacterial small subunit ribosomal RNA", at positions 524 to 776 of the family's 1533-position model. The record is from RNAcentral.
UACGGGGGGAGCAAGCGUUGUUCGGAUUUACUGGGUGUAAAGGGCGCGUAGGCGGCCAGCACAAGUCAGUUGUGAAAUCUCCGAGCUUAACUCGGAAAGGUCAACUGAUACUGUGCGGCUAGAGUGCAGAAGGGGCAACUGGAAUUCUCGGUGUAGCGGUGAAAUGCGUAGAUAUCGAGAGGAACACCUGCGGCGAAGGCGGGUUGCUGGGCUGACACUGACGCUGAGGCGCGAAAGCUAGGGGAGCGAACGGG